RNAcentral lists this ribosomal RNA (549 nucleotides) under Nostoc carneum BTA38. RNAcentral describes it as "partial 16S ribosomal RNA". It matches the Rfam family "Bacterial small subunit ribosomal RNA", at positions 955 to 1489 of the family's 1533-position model. Lineage: Bacteria; Bacillati; Cyanobacteriota; Cyanophyceae; Nostocales; Nostocaceae. The record is from RNAcentral.
UGCAACGCGCAGAACCUUACCAAGGCUUGACAUGUCGCGAACUCUUCUGAAAGGAAGAGGUGCCUKCGGGAGCGCKUUACGMCCAAUCAKGUSCGUGCAURRCUGUCUUGCAUCCUCCGURUCWYCGMGRCUGYUGGSUUAMGUCCCGCAACGAGCGCAACCCUCGUUUUUAGUUGCCAGCAUUAAGUUGGGCACUCUAUAGAGACUGCCGGUGACAAACCGGAGGAAGGUGGGGAUGACGUCAAGUCAGCAUGCCCCUUACGCCUUGGGCUACACACGUACUACAAUGCUACGGACAGAGGGCAGCAAGCUAGCGAUAGCAAGCUAAUCCCAUAAACCGUGGCUCAGUUCAGAUCGAAGGCUGCAACUCGCCUUCGUGAAGGAGGAAUCGCUAGUAAUUGCAGGUCAGCAUACUGCAGUGAAUUCGUUCCCGGGCCUUGUACACACCGCCCGUCACACCAUGGAAGCUGGCAACGCCCGAAGUCAUUACUCCAACCUUUCGAGGGGGAGGAUGCCUAAGGCAGUGCUGGUGACUGGGGGUGAAGUCGU